CCUACGGGGGGCUGCAGUGGGGAAUUUUGGACAAUGGGGGCAACCCUGAUCCAGCCAUGCCGCGUGCGGGAAGAAGGCCUUCGGGUUGUAAACCGCUUUCGGCCGGAACGAAAUCGCCGGGGAGAACAUCCCCGGUGGAUGACGGUACCGGAAGAAGAAGCACCGGCUAACUACGUGCCAGCAGCCGCGGUAAUACGUAGGGUAAGAGCGUUGAUCGGAAUUACUGGGCGCGGUGCGCUAACAGGGGUGUGAAAUCCCCGGGCUUAACCUGGGAACUGCGUUUGUGACUGGCGGGCUGGAGUGCGGAAGAGGGAGGUGGAAUUCCACGUGUAGCAGUGAAAUGCGUAGAGAUGUGGAGGAACACCGAUGGCGAAGGCAGCCUCCUGGUCUAGCACUGACGCUCAUGCACGAAAGCGUGGGGAGCAAACAGGAUUAGAUACCCCUGUAGUC
RNAcentral lists this ribosomal RNA (450 nucleotides) under uncultured bacterium. Its description in RNAcentral is "partial 16S ribosomal RNA". It matches the Rfam family "Bacterial small subunit ribosomal RNA", at positions 338 to 795 of the family's 1533-position model. The record is from RNAcentral.